This 492-nucleotide ribosomal RNA is filed under the name uncultured bacterium. Its description in RNAcentral is "partial 16S ribosomal RNA". It matches the Rfam family "Bacterial small subunit ribosomal RNA", at positions 29 to 507 of the family's 1533-position model. The record is from RNAcentral.
AGUGAACGCUGGCGGUAGGCCUAACACAUGCAAGUCGAACGGCAGCACAGUAAGAGCUUGCUCUUACGGGUGGCGAGUGGCGGACGUGUGAGGAAUACAUCGGAAUCUACUUUUUCGUGGGGGAUAACGUAGGGAAACUUACGCUAAUACCGCAUACGACCUACGGGUGAAAGCAGGGGAUCUUCGGACCUUGCGCGGUUGAAUGAGCCGAUGUCGGAUUAGCUAGUUGGCGGGGUAAAGGCCCACCAAGGCGACGAUCCGUAGCUGGUCUGAGAGGAUGAUCAGCCACACUGGAACUGAGACACGGUCCAGACUCCUACGGGAGGCAGCAGUGGGGAAUAUUGGACAAUGGGCGCAAGCCUGAUCCAGCCAUACCGCGUGGGUGAAGAAGGCCUUCGGGUUGUAAAGCCCUUUUGUUGGGAAAGAAAAGCAGCAGGUUAAUACCCCGCUGUUCUGACGGUACCCAAAGAAUAAGCACCGGCUAACUUCGUG